Molecule: ribosomal RNA, 496 nt
Filed under: uncultured bacterium
Lineage: Bacteria
Description: partial 16S ribosomal RNA
Rfam family: Bacterial small subunit ribosomal RNA
Source: RNAcentral
GAUGAACGCUGGCGGCGUGCCUAUACAUGCAAGUCGAGCGAACGGACGAGAAGCUUGCUUCUCUGAUGUUAGCGGCGGACGGGUGAGUAACACGUGGAUAACCUACCUAUAAGACUGGGAUAACUUCGGGAAACCGGAGCUAAUACCGGAUGAUAUUUUGAACCGCAUGGUUCAAAAGUGAAAGACGGUCUUGCUGUCACUUAUAGAUGGAUCCGCGCUGCAUUAGCUAGUUGGUAAGGUAACGGCUUACCAAGGCAACGAUGCAUAGCCGACCUGAGAGGGUGAUCGGCCACACUGGAACUGAGACACGGUCCAGACUCCUACGGGAGGCAGCAGUAGGGAAUCUUCCGCAAUGGGCGAAAGCCUGACGGAGCAACGCCGCGUGAGUGAUGAAGGUCUUCGGAUCGUAAAACUCUGUUAUUAGGGAGGAACAUAUGUGUAAGUAACUGUGCACAUCUUGACGGUACCUAAUCAGAAAGCCACGGCUAACUACGUG